This 500-nucleotide ribosomal RNA is filed under the name uncultured bacterium. RNAcentral describes it as "partial 16S ribosomal RNA". It matches the Rfam family "Bacterial small subunit ribosomal RNA", at positions 28 to 523 of the family's 1533-position model. The record is from RNAcentral.
AUUGAACGCUGGCGGCAUGCCUUGCACAUGCAAGUCGAACGGCAGCGCGGGAGCAAUCCUGGCGGCGAGUGGCGAACGGGUGAGUAGUGCAUCGGAACGUGCCCAGUUGUGGGGGAUAGCCCGGCGAAAGCCGGAUUAAUACCGCAUGAGACCUGAGGGUGAAAGCGGGGGAUCGAAAGACCUCGCGCGACUGGAGCGGCCGAUGUCAGAUUAGGUAGUUGGUGGGGUAAGGGCCUACCAAGCCUGCGAUCUGUAGCUGGUCUGAGAGGACGACCAGCCACGCUGGGACUGAGACACGGCCCAGACUCCUACGGGAGGCAGCAGUGGGGAAUUUUGGACAAGGGGCGCAAGCCUGAUCCAGCCAUGCCGCGUGCGGGAAGAAGGCCUUCGGGUUGUAAACCGCUUUUGUCGGGGAAGAAACGGCCUGGGCUAAUACCUUGGGCUAAUGACGGUACCCGAAGAAUAAGCACCGGCUAACUACGUGCCAGCCGCCGCGGUAA